UGGGAAUGAUUUCUUACUAAUAAAGAAACUGCCUUGGCCCAUUUUAUUGGAUAGAAAAUUAGGUAGGCGGAGUAUACAGAAGAGAAUUCUGGGAGAAAGAAGGUUAGAGGAAGAGUCGCCAUGAUGCUCCCACUCCAGACAGACGCAGGUUAAGAUCCUCUCUGGUAAAGAAGCUUUUUGGAGACUACAAUGCUUGGACUGAAGCAAAUGUUACUACCCUAAUGACACCCUGGGUACAUCUCCAGAAGAAAGUCUCUUGACAAAAGAGAAAAGAGGAAAAAAAAAAAACUAUCCUAUGAAGGCAACAGAGGCAAAUGAUCAACCACACACACUGCAAUAAGAAUGAAGAAACAACUAACAUAAUAAAGAAUAUCUUUCCAGUAAGUGCUACAAAAGAAA
Long non-coding RNA from Alexandromys fortis (reed vole), 399 nucleotides. RefSeq lists it as uncharacterized. The record is from RefSeq and is a predicted model, not a curated record. NCBI's taxonomy places the organism in Eukaryota, Metazoa, Chordata, Mammalia, Rodentia, Cricetidae. The transcript is spliced from 2 exons.